UAAAGAAUUUCGGUCAUCGAUGGGGAUGCGUUCCAUUAGCUUGUUGGCGGGGUAACGGCCCACCAAGGCAUCGAUGGAUAGGGGCUCUGAGAGGAAGGUCCCCCACAUUGGAACUGAGACACGGUCCAAACUCCUACGGGAGGCAGCAGUGAGGAAUAUUGGUCAAUGGGCGCUAGCCUGAACCAGCCAAGUAGCGUGAAGGAUGACUGCCCUAUGGGUUGUAAACUUCUUUUAUAUGGGAAUAAAGUGCAGUAUGUAUACUGCUUUGCAUGUACCUUAUGAAUAAGGAUCGGCUAACUCCGUGCCAGCAGCCGCGGUAAUACGGAGGAUCCGAGCGUUAUCCGGAUUUAUUGGGUUUAAAGGGAGCGUAGGCGGGUUGUUAAGUCAGUUGUGAAAGUUUGCGGCUCAACCGUAAAAUUGCAGUUGAUACUGGCAUCCUUGAGUACAGUAGAGGUAGGCGGAAUUCGUGGUGUAGCGGUGAAAUGCUUAGAUAUCACGAAGAACUCCGAUUGCGAAGGCAGCCUGCUGGACUGUAACUGACGCUGAUGCUCGAAAGUGUGGGUAUCAAACAGGAUUAGAUACCCUGGUAGUCCACACAGUAAACGAUGAAUACUCGCUGUUUGCGAUAUACAGUAA
This 636-nucleotide ribosomal RNA is filed under the name uncultured bacterium. Its description in RNAcentral is "bacterial SSU rRNA". It matches the Rfam family "Bacterial small subunit ribosomal RNA", at positions 202 to 842 of the family's 1533-position model. The record is from RNAcentral.